UGGGGAAUCUUGGACAAUGGGCGCAAGCCUGAUCCAGCCAUGCCGCGUGAGUGACGAAGGCCUUAGGGUUGUAAAGCUCUUUUGGCGGGGACGAUAAUGACGGUACCCGCAGAAUAAGCCCCGGCUAACUUCGUGCCAGCAGCCGCGGUAAUACGAAGGGGGCUAGCGUUGUUCGGAAUUACUGGGCGUAAAGCGCACGUAGGCGGAUUUGUCAGUCAGGGGUGAAAUCCCGAGGCUCAACCUCGGAACUGCCUCCGAUACAGCAAGUCUCGAGUCCGGAAGAGGUGAGUGGAAUUCCUAGUGUAGAGGUGAAAUUCGUAGAUAUUAGGAAGAACACCAGUGGCGAAGGCGGCUCACUGGUCCGGUACUGACGCUGAGGUGCGAAAGCGUGGGGAGCAAACAGGAUUAGAUACCCUUGUAGUCCCUGAGCGGGCUGGCAAGGCGCAU
RNAcentral lists this ribosomal RNA (447 nucleotides) under uncultured bacterium. Its description in RNAcentral is "bacterial SSU rRNA". It matches the Rfam family "Bacterial small subunit ribosomal RNA", at positions 355 to 825 of the family's 1533-position model. The record is from RNAcentral.